GGGAGGAAAAGAAACCAACUGGGAUUACCUUAGUAACGGCGAGUGAAGCGGUAAAAGCUCAAAUUUGAAAUCUGGUACUUUCAGUGCCCGAGUUGUAAUUUGUAGAAUUUGUCUUUGAUUAGGUCCUUGUCUAUGUUCCUUGGAACAGGACGUCAUAGAGGGUGAGAAUCCCGUUUGGCGAGGAUACCUUUUCUCUGUAAGACUUUUUCGAAGAGUCGAGUUGUUUGGGAAUGCAGCUCAAAGUGGGUGGUAAAUUCCAUCUAAAGCUAAAUAUUGGCGAGAGACCGAUAGCGAACAAGUACAGUGAUGGAAAGAUGAAAAGAACUUUGAAAAGAGAGUGAAAAAGUACGUGAAAUUGUUGAAAGGGAAGGGCAUUUGAUCAGACAUGGUGUUUUUUGCAUGCACUCGCCUCUCGUGGGCUUGGGCCUCUCAAAAAUUUCACUGGGCCAACAUCAAUUCUGGCAGCAGGAUAAAUCAUUAAGAAUGUAGCUACUUCGGUAGUGUUAUAGCUUUUUGGAAUACUGUUAGCCGGGAUUGAGGACUGCGCUUCGGCAAGGAUGUUGGCAUAAUGGUUAAAUGCCGCCCGUCU
RNAcentral lists this ribosomal RNA (589 nucleotides) under Hanseniaspora uvarum. RNAcentral describes it as "eukaryotic LSU rRNA". It matches the Rfam family "Eukaryotic large subunit ribosomal RNA", at positions 51 to 654 of the family's 3401-position model. The record is from RNAcentral. Lineage: Eukaryota; Fungi; Ascomycota; Saccharomycetes; Saccharomycodales; Saccharomycodaceae.